CCUGCUCUGGCUGGCAUCACCCUGCAAUCAGGACUACCUGGGAGGAUGCAGAGGGGAGCCUCUCAUUCUGCCAUGAAAAUGUGCAUCUUUGUUUCCUGACUCCUACCCACACCUGAGCCCUGGGAGAUGCCAUCACUGCUUCAGCAGUAUGACCAGAACGUCAAUUCCAACCGAGCAGAAAGCUUGAGGCUGCAGGAAGCACCAGGCUGUGAUGUGGGCUUUAGACCUUGGCUGUGAUGAAAACUUGUUCCCGUCCAAACAUGUCGCCUGGACCCCUUUCGUUGCGAGCAGCGCUGACAUGGUUCUGCUCAAAUAAACUGAGGAUCCCGUUUCACAUGAUUCAUUUGAUAGAAACAUCAGGACUGCUGAUGCAUGGAUUGGCCUCCGUGAUCCCUCUUCCAAAAACACAGGCAGUGGAUCAUGAGAUUGUUGUGCUAACAGGAAAGAAGAAAUGGCCGGUUUCUCUGUUUCCUUUCUUGGCUUUUCUGGUGGCGCUGGCUUCUGGCAUUUUGCGUAACCCACGAGUAUUAGUGAUUGGAAUAAAGAAGAAGAUAGGAUGGAGAGGAUUACGGAAAAGCUCAGGUGGGUAUACAGUUGUGAUCUGCCAGGAUCCUGGUGUUUCUGCCCGUGAUGCCCCUCCCUCCCUCUCCAUACCUGUGGGAUGAAUACCUGUAGGGGUGUAUUAACACACCCAUGUAGCAAACUGCUACCAAAUGAUUAGGACAAAAUCAUAC
Molecule: long non-coding RNA, 734 nt
Organism: Camelus dromedarius (Arabian camel)
Lineage: Eukaryota; Metazoa; Chordata; Mammalia; Artiodactyla; Camelidae
Exons: 3
Source: RefSeq, a predicted model, not a curated record